Molecule: ribosomal RNA, 98 nt
Filed under: Gammaproteobacteria bacterium
Lineage: Bacteria; Pseudomonadati; Pseudomonadota; Gammaproteobacteria
Source: RNAcentral
GAUGACAAUAGCAGUCUGGUACCACCUGAUCCCAUUUCGAACUCAGAGUGAAACGGACUAACGCCAAUGGUAGUGCAGGGUCUCCCUGUGUGAGAGUA